Molecule: ribosomal RNA, 534 nt
Filed under: Colletotrichum truncatum
Lineage: Eukaryota; Fungi; Ascomycota; Sordariomycetes; Glomerellales; Glomerellaceae
Description: eukaryotic LSU rRNA
Rfam family: 5.8S ribosomal RNA (bases 194-347)
Source: RNAcentral
GCGGAGGGAUCAUUACUGAGUUACCGCUCAUCAACCCUUUGUGAACAUACCUUAACUGUUGCUUCGGCGGGUAGGCGUCCCCUAAAAAGGACGUCUCCCGGCCCUCUCCCGUCCGCGGGUGGGGCGCCCGCCGGAGGAUAACCAAACUCUGAUUUAACGACGUUUCUUCUGAGUGACACAAGCAAAUAAUCAAAACUUUUAACAACGGAUCUCUUGGUUCUGGCAUCGAUGAAGAACGCAGCGAAAUGCGAUAAGUAAUGUGAAUUGCAGAAUUCAGUGAAUCAUCGAAUCUUUGAACGCACAUUGCGCCCGCCAGCAUUCUGGCGGGCAUGCCUGUUCGAGCGUCAUUUCAACCCUCAAGCUCUGCUUGGUGUUGGGGCUCUACGGUUGACGUAGGCCCUUAAAGGUAGUGGCGGACCCUCUCGGAGCCUCCUUUGCGUAGUAACAUUUCGUCUCGCAUUGGGAUUCGGAGGGACUCUAGCCGUAAAACCCCCAAUUUUACUAAGGUUGACCUCGGAUCAGGUAGGAAUACCC